GGGUGCGCUGCGUUCACCAAAACAAACACAUCUCCGAUGUUCCAGUGUGCUGCCGUUGGCUGCCGUGUUGUUUCCGCGUUCCCUGCGGGUUUGUUAGAAUAUGGUACACGCUUGGGUUGCGUACCGGAGUGCUCAGCGCAUGCUUUAAAGUCUGGAGGUAGCUUUCAUAGCUUUCCUGCCGAAAAAGAAACUGAAAUCGCAGUGGAAAGGUUAAGAGUAGAGAAGAAGUUGACUGCGCACGACGUGUAUUCUCACGCGAUGCCUUCCAAGCAAACUACGCUACUGGACGAGGGCCCAAGAGGAGGUUCUUGAAAACGCCGUUCCGUCGGAGAACCUUCCGAAGGGAUCACACGACAGGGUCGUGAGGCUUCGGAAGCCACCGAGAGGUAACAGGGCAGCAUCCGACACGAGCUGCUUGCCUCCUGGUGCUGCAGCAUCAACACAGCACCUCCUGACUGCUUUCGAGAAUGUGCAACAGACUGGCCCCACGACUCCCUUUCGAACAUCCAAAAGGAAUUGCCUGCCCAGGAUGCCUGCGUUCAAGUAGACAGCAUGUUGCAGGCGAAGCUAGGGCCCCACGUUCGCUUGGCGAAAGCUAAAAGUGACAGCGAGCUUGCCUCACUAACUGGGGUUGGAUCUCUACAACUAAUGAGAAACAUUGUAACAGAGUUCGAUAGUGUGCGAGCAAAGCUUUCUUCGAGGAGCUUCCUGCUUUCUUCAGGUGACACUGUGCUCAUCACAUUGAUGAAGCUCUAUCAUGAUGUCAUUAUCAGUUUCCUAGCGUUCCUUUUCAGGAUACAUAGAACAACGGCGUCUGAGAACGUGAAGAUGUCCCUUUGUGUCCUGAGUUCGGUUUUAGGGUCAGCCCUGUAUGUUCCCUGCGACCAGUCUAUUGAGAACAACCUCACAGUUUACUUUAAAAGUUUCCUCGCACGAAAGUUAUUCUGGACUGCACUGAGAUCCCCAUCCAGCGACCACUUGACCUUGCAUCCAGGAUACUGAUGUACAGUCAUUAUAAGAAAACCUACACCCUAAAAGUGCUGAUUGGGUACGCACCAACUGGCAUGUUUACGUUCGUGAGCCGUGCUUUUGGGGGACGGACUUCGCAUUCUUUUAUCACAAAGGAAUCGAGUUCUGGAGAGGUGCUCACCGUACGAGCAGGUAAUGGUCGACAAGGGCUUCCUUAUUGACAAGUUUUGCGACGAGGCUCUUGUCGAGCUUGUGCAGCCUCCAUUUCUGAGGAACAAGCAACAGAUGACUCAACAUGACGCACUCGGGAACCAAGAUAUCGCACUUGCACGUGUCCACGUGGAACGUGCCAUUCAACGACUAAAAGUGUUCAAGAUUCUGCAGCAUCAUUUUCCUAAGCACCUGCUUCCUGUUUGACGAUGUAAUGCAGCUCCUUGCAGGUAUCGUAAACCUUUCACUGCCAAUUUUUGCAGAAGAUAAGUUUCUGUAGCUGGCAAGGAAGCCACAUGUAAAUAGAGUAAAUAUGCGUAUUAGCGGCUUGUAUCAUCAUUUAUGCGGGUUCAAACAUCGGGAAAAGUGCUCGCAAUGUGAUGAAGGCUUUGUGCGGAAAAGGUGCUAGUCUAUAAAAUGUGUAACAGAAAACUCGGUAUGCUGGAUGGGAUCAGUGCAACUUCAGACCAGUUUUGUGCGAGGCUUAUGAAAUUUUUCUAAAAGCCGGUUAACUUUAACCGCAGUAAAAAUUUAAUCGCAUUUCCUUACGAGGGGAAAUUUUGGGUCACGUGACUGGAAGAUUAAGGCAGCAGGGAAACAUGGCGGUGCCUUUGUGAGCGAGCACUGCUCGCUUUGGAACUAAUAUGUCAUGUAGCUGCAAUAUUGGGCACGGUAGUCAGCAGUGAAUAUUGCAGGAGGCUUUUGCUUGGCCUUACGUCAUUUACGCGCUGUCAUCAAGAGAUGAAAAUGAUGGGACAGUAUCUCAACUAGAUUGCACGUAUGCUAAAUAAAUGAGUAAAUAGUUAAAAAAAUAAGCCUCUAGUUAUUAUGAAUUGGCUCACGACAAAUACACUUGACAUCAGUGCGCCUAGUCUUGAUGGGUGCAUGGGUAGUCUUGAUGACGGCGUGUCAGUUAUGAUGCGAAGCUAUAUCCAUGCUAAGCGUGUGCUAAAAAAUGAGAAAUAAAGAAGUUCAU
Molecule: long non-coding RNA, 2155 nt
Filed under: Ixodes scapularis (black-legged tick)
Lineage: Eukaryota; Metazoa; Arthropoda; Arachnida; Ixodida; Ixodidae
Description: uncharacterized LOC115325190
Source: RNAcentral